UGGGGUAUAUUGGACAAUGGGCGGAAGCCUGAUCCAGCCAUGCCGCGUGUGUGAAGAAGGCCUUUUGGUUGUAAAGCACUUUAAGCGAGGAGGAGGCUACUUGGAUUAAUACUCUAGGAUAGUGGACGUUACUCGCAGAAUAAGCACCGGCUAACUCUGUGCCAGCAGCCGCGGUAAUACACAGGGUGCGAGCGUUAAUCGGAUUUACUGGGCGUUAAGCGUGCGUAGGCGGCUUCUUAAGUCGGAUGUGAAAUCCCUGAGCUUAACUUAGGAAUUGCAUUCGAUACUGGGAAGCUAGAGUAUGGGAGAGGAUGGUAGAAUUCCAGGUGUAGCGGUGAAAUGCGUAGAGAUCUGGAGGAAUACCGAUGGCGAAGGCAGCCAUCUGGCCUAAUACUGACGCUGAGGUACGAAAGCAUGGGGAGCAAACAGG
This 430-nucleotide ribosomal RNA is filed under the name bacterium. Its description in RNAcentral is "partial 16S ribosomal RNA". It matches the Rfam family "Bacterial small subunit ribosomal RNA", at positions 355 to 776 of the family's 1533-position model. The record is from RNAcentral.